RNAcentral lists this transfer RNA (69 nucleotides) under Camponotus floridanus (Florida carpenter ant). It matches the Rfam family "tRNA". From Rfam's summary of the family: Transfer RNA (tRNA) molecules are approximately 80 nucleotides in length. Their secondary structure includes four short double-helical elements and three loops (D, anti-codon, and T loops). Lineage: Eukaryota; Metazoa; Arthropoda; Insecta; Hymenoptera; Formicidae. The record is from Rfam by way of RNAcentral.
GCAGUAGCUUAGUGGUAAGAGCAGUCGCCCGGCAAGCGAAAGGUCCCAGGUUCGAUUCCUGGUACUGCG